AGUGAACGCUGGCGGUAGGCCUAACACAUGCAAGUCGAACGGCAGCACAGUAAGAGCUUGCUCUUACGGGUGGCGAGUGGCGGACGGGUGAGGAAUACAUCGGAAUCUACUUUUUCGUGGGGGAUAACGUAGGGAAACUUACGCUAAUACAGCAUACGCCCUACGGGUGAAAGCAGGGGAUCGUCGGACCUUGCGCGAUUGAAUGAGCCGAUGUCGGAUUAGCUAGUUGGCGGGGUAAAGGCCCACCAAGGCGACGAUCCGUAGCUGGUCUGAGAGGAUGAUCGGCCACACUGGAACUGAGACACGGACCAGACGCCUACGGGAGGCACCAGUGGGGAAUAUUGGACAAUGGGCGCAAGCCUGAUCCAGCCGUACCGCGUGGGUGAAGAAGGCGUUCGGGUUGUAAAGCCCUUUUGUUGGGAAAGAAAAGCAGCAGGUUAAUACCCCGCUGUUCUGACGGUACCCAAAGAAUAAGCACCGGCUAACUUCGUG
Molecule: ribosomal RNA, 492 nt
Filed under: uncultured bacterium
Lineage: Bacteria
Description: partial 16S ribosomal RNA
Rfam family: Bacterial small subunit ribosomal RNA
Source: RNAcentral